RNAcentral lists this ribosomal RNA (429 nucleotides) under Demodex caprae. Its description in RNAcentral is "partial 12S ribosomal RNA". Lineage: Eukaryota; Metazoa; Arthropoda; Arachnida; Trombidiformes; Demodicidae. The record is from RNAcentral.
UUUAAUUUUUUUUUGUUUUGGGAUGAGGUUGCUAAUUUAAUGUGUUUAGAAGAGGAUUAGAUACCCUUUUAUAAAUUUUUUGGAGGUAGUAAGCUUUUAUAGUGAAACUUAUUUGAGAUGGCGGUUGAAAGGUUUUACAGAGGGGCUUGAUUUUUAAUAGAUGAUCCUCUUUUUAUUUGUUCCUUUUUUUUAUUUUGUUUAUUUUUGUAAUACUGAUGUUUGGAGAUGAGUUGGUUGGUAAAUUUUAUUUGUUAUUGCAAAUCAAUAUUUAGAUUAUAGGAAGGAUGAGUUUAGCCACUUUGGUUUUGUUUAGUUUUUAUUUUAGUAUUUGUUAGUAAAUUUUUAGUUUAUAUUUAUUUUGAAUUUUUAACUUUCGAUGUACAUAUCGCCCGUCGCUUUUAUUUGUUAAAAUAAGUCGUAACAAAGUAG